GCACGACAGUGCGAUAAGGGGACUCCGAGUGCGAGGGCAUAUAGUCCUCGCUUUUCUACACCGUAAGGUGGUGUAGGAAUAAGGGCUGGGCAAGACCGGUGCCAGCCGCCGCGGUAAUACCGGCAGCCCGAGUGAUGGCCGCUAUUAUUGGGCCUAAAGCGUCCGUAGCCAGCCAGACAGGUCCGUCGGGAAAUCCACUCGCYUAACGAGUGGGCGUCCGGCGGAAACCAGCUGGCUUGGGGCCGGAAGACUCGAGGGGUACGUCCGGGGUAGGAGUGAAAUCCCGUAAUCCUGGACGGACCACCGGUGGCGAAAGCGCCUCGAGAAGACGGACCCGACGGUGAGGGACGAAAGCUAGGGUCACGAACCGGAUUAGAUACCCGGGUAGUCCUAGCUGUAAACGAUGCUCGCUAAGUAUGGCACACACUACGAGUGUGUGCUGUGCUGUAGUGAAGACGAGAAGCGAGCCGCCUGGGAAGUACGUCCGCA
This 489-nucleotide ribosomal RNA is filed under the name uncultured Halorussus sp. RNAcentral describes it as "bacterial SSU rRNA". It matches the Rfam family "Archaeal small subunit ribosomal RNA", at positions 357 to 845 of the family's 1478-position model. Lineage: Archaea; Methanobacteriati; Methanobacteriota; Halobacteria; Halobacteriales; Haladaptataceae. The record is from RNAcentral.